GACGAACGCUGGCGGCGUGCUUAACACAUGCAAGUCGAACGGAAAGGCCCUGCUUUUGUGGGGUGCUCGAGUGGCGAACGGGUGAGUAACACGUGAGUAACCUGCCCUUGACUUUGGGAUAACUUCAGGAAACUGGGGCUAAUACCGGAUAGGAGCUCCUGCUGCAUGGUGGGGGUUGGAAAGUUUCGGCGGUUGGGGAUGGACUCGCGGCUUAUCAGCUUGUUGGUGGGGUAGUGGCUUACCAAGGCUUUGAAGGGUAGCCGGCCUGAGAGGGUGACCGGCCACAUUGGGACUGAGGUACGGCCCAGACUCCUACGGGAGGCAGCAGUGGGGAAUAUUGCACAAUGGGCGGAAGCCUGAUGCAGCAACGCCGCGUGCGGGAUGACGGCCUUCGGGUUGUAAACCGCUUUCGCCUGUGACGAAGCGUGAGUGACGGUAAUGGGUAAAGAAGCACCGGCUAACUACGUG
RNAcentral lists this ribosomal RNA (468 nucleotides) under uncultured bacterium. Its description in RNAcentral is "partial 16S ribosomal RNA". It matches the Rfam family "Bacterial small subunit ribosomal RNA", at positions 28 to 507 of the family's 1533-position model. The record is from RNAcentral.